RNAcentral lists this ribosomal RNA (254 nucleotides) under uncultured bacterium. RNAcentral's name for it is "partial 16S ribosomal RNA". It matches the Rfam family "Bacterial small subunit ribosomal RNA", at positions 524 to 776 of the family's 1533-position model. The record is from RNAcentral.
UACGGAGGGUGCGAGCGUUGUCCGGAAUCAUUGGGCGUAAAGGGCGCGUAGGUGGCCCGGUCAGUUCGUGGUGAAAGCGCGGGGCUCAACCCUGCGUCGGCCAUGAAUACUGCCGCGGCUGGAGCACUGUAGAGGCAGGCGGAAUUCCGGGUGUAGCGGUGGAAUGCGUAGAGAUCCGGAAGAACACCGGUGGCGAAGGCGGCCUGCUGGGCAGUUUCUGACACUGAGGCGCGACAGCGUGGGGAGCAAACAGG